AGCAGCCGCGGUAAUUCCAGCUCCAAUAGCGUAUAUUAAAGUUGUUGCAGUUAAAAAGCUCGUAGUUGAAUUUCGGGAUCAAUACGUCGGUCGUGCUUCGGUACGUACUGGCAUUGUUGGUUUCUCCCUUCUGACGAACCAUGAUGUCAUUUAUUUGGUGUUGUGGGGAAUCAGGACUGUUACUUUGAAAAAAUUAGAGUGUUUAAAGCAGGCUCACGCUUGAAUACAUUAGCAUGGAAUAAUGAAAUAGGACGUUUGAUUCUAUUUUGUUGGUUUCUAGGAUCGACGUAAUGAUUAAUAGGGAUAGUUGGGGGCAUUAGCAUUCAAUUGUCAGAGGUGAAAUUCUUGGAUUUAUUGAAGACUAACUACUGCGAAAGCAUUUGCCAAGGAUGUUUUCAUUAAUCAAGAACGAAAGUUAGGGGAUCGAAGACGAUCAGAUACCGUCGUAGUCUUAACCAUAAACUAUGCCGACUAGGGAUCGGAUGAUGUUAA
This 492-nucleotide ribosomal RNA is filed under the name uncultured Glomus. RNAcentral's name for it is "SSU rRNA". It matches the Rfam family "Eukaryotic small subunit ribosomal RNA", at positions 569 to 1066 of the family's 1831-position model. Lineage: Eukaryota; Fungi; Glomeromycota; Glomeromycetes; Glomerales; Glomeraceae. The record is from RNAcentral.